GAUGAACGCUGGCGGCGUGCCUAAUACAUGCAAGUCGAGCGAACAGACGAGGAGCUUGCUCCUCUGACGUUAGCGGCGGACGGGUGAGUAACACGUGGAUAACCUACCUAUAAGACUGGGAUAACUUCGGGAAACCGGAGCUAAUACCGGAUAAUAUAUUGAACCGCAUGGUUCAAUAGUGAAAGACGGUUUUGCUGUCACUUAUAGAUGGAUCCGCGCCGCAUUAGCUAGUUGGUAGGGUAACGGCUUACCAAGGCUACGAUGCGUAGCCGACCUGAGAGGGUGAUCGGCCACACUGGAACUGAGACACGGUCCAGACUCCUACGGGAGGCAGCAGUAGGGAAUCUUCCGCAAUGGGCGAAAGCCUGACGGAGCAACGCCGCGUGAGUGAUGAAGGUCUUCGGAUCGUAAAACUCUGUUAUUAGGGAAGAACAAAUGUGUAAGUAACUAUGCACGUCUUGACGGUACCUAAUCAGAAAGCCACGGCUAACUACGUG
Molecule: ribosomal RNA, 497 nt
Filed under: uncultured bacterium
Lineage: Bacteria
Description: partial 16S ribosomal RNA
Rfam family: Bacterial small subunit ribosomal RNA
Source: RNAcentral